Molecule: ribosomal RNA, 1369 nt
Filed under: Streptococcus thermophilus
Lineage: Bacteria; Bacillati; Bacillota; Bacilli; Lactobacillales; Streptococcaceae
Description: 16S ribosomal RNA
Rfam family: Bacterial small subunit ribosomal RNA
Source: RNAcentral
GAUGAGUUGCGAACGGGUGAGUAACGCGUAGGUAACCUGCCUUGUAGCGGGGGAUAACUAUUGGAAACGAUAGCUAAUACCGCAUAACAAUGGAUGACACAUGUCAUUUAUUUGAAAGGGGCAAUUGCUCCACUACAAGAUGGACCUGCGUUGUAUUAGCUAGUAGGUGAGGUAAUGGCUCACCUAGGCGACGAUACAUAGCCGACCUGAGAGGGUGAUCGGCCACACUGGGACUGAGACACGGCCCAGACUCCUACGGGAGGCAGCAGUAGGGAAUCUUCGGCAAUGGGGGCAACCCUGACCGAGCAACGCCGCGUGAGUGAAGAAGGUUUUCGGAUCGUAAAGCUCUGUUGUAAGUCAAGAACGGGUGUGAGAGUGGAAAGUUCACACUGUGACGGUAGCUUACCAGAAAGGGACGGCUAACUACGUGCCAGCAGCCGCGGUAAUACGUAGGUCCCGAGCGUUGUCCGGAUUUAUUGGGCGUAAAGCGAGCGCAGGCGGUUUGAUAAGUCUGAAGUUAAAGGCUGUGGCUCAACCAUAGUUCGCUUUGGAAACUGUCAAACUUGAGUGCAGAAGGGGAGAGUGGAAUUCCAUGUGUAGCGGUGAAAUGCGUAGAUAUAUGGAGGAACACCGGUGGCGAAAGCGGCUCUCUGGUCUGUAACUGACGCUGAGGCUCGAAAGCGUGGGGAGCGAACAGGAUUAGAUACCCUGGUAGUCCACGCCGUAAACGAUGAGUGCUAGGUGUUGGAUCCUUUCCGGGAUUCAGUGCCGCAGCUAACGCAUUAAGCACUCCGCCUGGGGAGUACGACCGCAAGGUUGAAACUCAAAGGAAUUGACGGGGGCCCGCACAAGCGGUGGAGCAUGUGGUUUAAUUCGAAGCAACGCGAAGAACCUUACCAGGUCUUGACAUCCCGAUGCUAUUUCUAGAGAUAGAAAGUUACUUCGGUACAUCGGUGACAGGUGGUGCAUGGUUGUCGUCAGCUCGUGUCGUGAGAUGUUGGGUUAAGUCCCGCAACGAGCGCAACCCCUAUUGUUAGUUGCCAUCAUUCAGUUGGGCACUCUAGCGAGACUGCCGGUAAUAAACCGGAGGAAGGUGGGGAUGACGUCAAAUCAUCAUGCCCCUUAUGACCUGGGCUACACACGUGCUACAAUGGUUGGUACAACGAGUUGCGAGUCGGUGACGGCGAGCUAAUCUCUUAAAGCCAAUCUCAGUUCGGAUUGUAGGCUGCAACUCGCCUACAUGAAGUCGGAAUCGCUAGUAAUCGCGGAUCAGCACGCCGCGGUGAAUACGUUCCCGGGCCUUGUACACACCGCCCGUCACACCACGAGAGUUUGUAACACCCGAAGUCGGUGAGGUAACCUUUUGGAG